GAAGCAUCAUUCCGACACAGCACACGGCAGCUCUAUUCUGUUGCACUGCGCUCUGAACGGCUACUCGACUAUUAGGUAGGUACCUGCCCUCUGCUUUGCUCUGCUCUGCCCGACGCUGGUAGCAACUGCCACAGACACAGAAGACAACGGCCUACCGCGCUCUCACUGACUUCACUCAGCCACCGGUCACUCUUCUCGCUGCAAGCAGUCCUAUCACAUCUCAUCGCAACGCUACGCGUAUUGCUCCACUCCAGCAUCAACACCGGUGGGGAAAACACAGCCAAUCGUGCCGGAAGUUUUCAUAAGAGGCGUGUUCAGUUCGUCGAACAAAAGCGCUCGAAAAAACUGUGUGCUCAAGAUUAAGUUUCAAGAGAUGCUGGUUAGAAUAAGUUUGCUCAGUGAAGUACUGAAAACAGUCUAGUAUUGUUUUUUAUCUUGCGGUUGUGUCGAGAGGUAGUAGUGGGAGUUGAGUUGAUAUUGGACAAGAAGAGGCUCGGCUAGACAGAGAAGAUGUUUGCGAUUAUGCAAGUGGAGACGGAGGACCGGAGGGAGUUCCGUCGGAAGAUGCGGGCCAAGUGCGAAUUCAUCUGCAAGUAUUGUCAGCGCCGAUUCACCAAGCCCUACAACCUCAUGAUCCACGAGCGCACCCACAAGGAUGACGUCACCUUCACCUGCGAGGUCUGCGGCAAGACCUUCAAGCGCCAGGACAACCUCAAGCAGCACAGAUGUGGGUGGCGGUGAAGAAUUGUGGUGUAUCUGUUCUACCUACAGCGCUCCUCUUAACUGUAAUGUCGAUACACAGUCCCGACAACUGCAGGAAUGCUGGCAAUGGAUACGCAACCAGGUUAUGAGUUCUACAAACAAUCAUUCUUAUCGCCUGGUUUCUGUGUUCUUUAGAACUGCACCUGUCACAGUUGAUGUUGAACAGUUUGUGAUAUGCGAACAGUUUUCAUUCAUGUGGUCUAGAGCCAGUGAUAUAAUGGACUCAUUCAUGUAAAAUGUUCUCUGCACACUUUCUACUACGGAAUAGAAUAAUCCAUAGUCUCGAAUCAAAAAUAUGAUAUUAAUAGAAUAGGCCUACUAUACACGAUUGAACUUGUUUAUAUACAGGUAACAGAAUGAAUAUUUUGACAUAGCUCACCAGUCUGUUCCUCCAGAUUCAAGUAAUAGAUUGUAUGAUCUGCCCUAAGCUUUAUCGUUCAUUUACUCUCCUCAAUGAAUUGAUCGAUCAACGAACUCAAAUUUCCUUAAAUAAUUCCUCAAAUAAACUAACAUAAUACGUAUCAGUGUUGUUGCUGAGAUAAACAAUGACAAUUAUUGAGAAUUAAUUAUGUGCCCUAAGCUUCACUGUUCAUUUACUCUCCUCAAUGAAUUGAUCGAUCAACGAACUCAAAUUUCCUUAAAUAAUUCCUCAAAUAAACUAACCUAAUACGUAUCAAUGUUGCUGAGAUAAACAAUGACAAUUAUUGGGAAUUAACAUCCUUAUAAUCUGCAAUAAAACUGAAGGCACAAUAAAUGGAGGUAUGUUUGUUUUAAUUAUAUAGGCUAGCAAUAAUUCCAAUUGCCGGGAAAUUUGAGCUUGCGAGAUUCACAUGAGGUCCAAUCUGUGUAGGAGACAAAAUAUCAUGUAACUUAUUCAUGCAACUUUUCUGGACUCGAGUCUGUCGUAUACAGCGACAUAAUGGCUCAGUUAUGUGAGCUUCAAUUAUUGUUUUCACUUCAAUUUUCGCAACAUUUUUUUUUUGUUUUUGAAAUGAAUUAGUUAAUGCAGAUCAACUGCUGGUGAUUUUGCUAUCAUAACUUGUUUCCGUAGCUAUCCGAUGAAUUCGAAUGAGUUUCAGGCCAAUUAAAACAAAUAAAUGAGAAUUGUAUUUGAAUACUGAUAUUGAAGUUAACAUUCUAGUCCAGAUAGGUAGUUUCUGUCGAUGAAGAUAUCUACUCUAUGGCAAAAUAUAAUUAUUAUUCUUUUUUUUAUCAAAGUGAAAAAAUCAAAAUGACAACUAAUAGCUGGAACACUUCGUUCGGAAAAGUCGUAUUUCCUCCAAGUUUUACUUGAAAACUUACAAAUUCUUUUGAAAUUUCUCGAAUAAUUAGAAGAAUUAUUCCUACCUAGGUAGCAUGUGAUCUCAUCUUAUAUCAUAUUUGUUUUUCUUGUAUAUUCAAUUUUCCUUUUUUAGUAUGAUCGAUACCUUGUUUCCAAUAUCGCAACCUUCUUUUAAGAAGUAUCACUCCCUUACAUUCCAUAAGAGCACCUCAAUUCAUACUAUCCCAACUUGAUAAUAAACAUGAAAUAUUUAUUUCAAUCAGAAAGUGUAAUCCAGUUAUCAAAACCUGUGUAAAAUGAAUUUGUAACUCAAGUUCAAAUGAAUUUCCUUACAAAUUAAAUAUUGCAUGUCCCUGAAUCUGGAGAGAACAUAAUAGAAUCUAUUCCUGUUUUCCAAUUGUUUAGAAGUAAGAUAUAUAUUAUUUAAUAGCCUAUAGCUAACAUGUAAAAUAUUUUAACAUAGAGCAUUGCUUGAAGAUAAAUUCUAGUCUAAGCUGAGACAUAACAAAAAGCUUCUUAUCAUAUCAUCGUAUGUAAUCCAGUUCUUGUGUGUGAGACCUAAGAUUGAUUACAACUCGAAUUUCUUUCCUCAGAUACACUUUUUUUUUGUAAAAUCAUUUGAUAUUCUUAUCAUUUUCUAGCUUUCUUAUCAUUUUCUGUCACAAAAAUUCAAGUCAUUUUUGAGACUGAUUAUUCAGUUUUUGAAUUCUUGAAACUUUUCUUGAUAUAAUUAAUUUAUCGGAUACGAACUAUUCAAGAAUAGUAUCAUCUUGUAGAUAAAUAAUAAUCCAUUGUAAAUAUGUAUGUAAUGUCUUCCGAUAUGUCCAUUAUGCUGGAGUGCUUGGCUUUAAGUAUUUUUUUAGAUGUAUUCACGUUCUUGUUACUUAAGAAAAAUCCGUUGCUUACCCUGGAAUAAAUCUGUGGCAUUCUUCAAUUGAAUUGAUUUUGGAUAGAGUCAAGUUCAGAUGUUGAACUAUUUUACUCAUAAAAUAUUGUAUUCAUUUUCGUAAUCACAGUUUGAUCGAUAUUUAGCUCAAAUUUGGUUUUUUGAAUUUUAAGAUUAAUAAUAAUAUUACAAGCUUUUCACAGUUCCAUGUAACUCAAAAUCACGUAUUGAUUACUAUCAAUCGAAAGUGAAGCAGAUACAAAAUCACACUUCAUUACACCACAAGAUUUUAUUGCCGUAUUGGAUUGAAAUUCCAUUGUUUUCAGAUUAUAAUUAUGUUUCGAAUCAAUUUUUAGCUUUGCUUUAGGACUUGUUCCAUUUAGUUUAACUGUGCAAUAUGAAACACAUUGAAUCGUUUGCCAUAAAAACUCACGAUUGGGAGUGUUUAUAGAUACUUAGUGCCGGUCGCACAAAAGCCGGUUAAGUUUUAAUCGUGAUUAACUCCACGAGAGCCAAUCAGAGUAGCCGUCUUAUCAAAAAGGCCUUCUCUGAUUGGUUCUCGUGUAAUUAAUCUCGGAUAAAAUUUAACCGGCUACUGUGCAACCGGGCCUUAUCUGUAGUAAAAUUAUGAACGAUUCACCCAUGAAUAUUGUAAAGCAAGAAAAAUUCUAAUGGUAUGUUUACCCUGAUAAAAUUAUUUAUUUUGUAAAUUUGAAAGAUUUAUUAUUAGUUGAUACUAGCUGAACUUUUCAUUGUAGAUUACCAUUGUAGGUGUAGAUAAUGAGAUUAAUAAGAUUUAUUCCACUUUAAUAUAAGAAAUUUGUAAAAAGGAUAGUCUACUAUUGAAAUAAAAAUUCAUUGAAAACCCAC
RNA transcript from Nilaparvata lugens (brown planthopper), 3800 nucleotides. It is a transcript of the gene named protein drumstick, with no coding region annotated. The record is from RefSeq and is a predicted model, not a curated record. Lineage: Eukaryota; Metazoa; Arthropoda; Insecta; Hemiptera; Delphacidae. The transcript has 4 exons.